UCCCUGACUAAUCUCUACAACACUUUUUGAAUUUUUUGUCAUUUUAAUUCUCCACUAAAACCUUCAGUAAUGAAUAAAUUAAUCAUCAGAAAUAUAUUUCCUAACAGUUAGGCUUUAAAAAUAAGGAAAAAAUUUAAAUUACAAUAAAGGUGUGUGUGUGUUUAUAUCUGUGUCAAUUACUUGGUACUUAAAUAAGGCUUGUGAUCAGUAGUAGUGCUAGGUGUUUAUUGAAGUCACUAGAUAUUUCACCUAUGUAUUCUAGUAUGCUUGGCACCGGUAUUCUAUCUAGUGUUGCUUUCAUAGAGCCAGGGUAGAUACUAUUAAGGAACCUUGCUCAAUCUGUUGCUAACGGUUUUGCCAAAGCACCACUCUGGAUUGUGGCUUCAUAUAUUGACCUUAAAAGGAUGGAAAAAUUUACUUUGGCAGGAGCUGAACUUAGUGAGCAAAUCUUGUGAGGCAUUCUAACCAAUGCCCUGAUGAUUGCUAAAGUAUCAAGUUGAAUGAACUAUCAGCUGUAGGUGGUGAUAUAGUAUUUGAAUAUUUGAGUCCAAGACUGAAUAACGGCAUUAAUAUCAGGUACAUUUUGCAUUGAUUUGAUCACCUGUCCAAAUUAUACAUUGAUCUCAAUAUCUUCUUAGAGACAGUAACUUGAAAGCUGGUUGAAACUUCUUUGUAAUAAAUGUCAAUAACAUUGAUUUAGCAAAAGUUGUUGAAACUUAAAUGAUAGUGGGGUCUCAGCUGAUAGAUGUAAGUUUUAUUGAUAAGAGGGAAAGAGACUUGGUGAGGUGGGGUGAUCCUCAUCACUCAUCAACCCAGAAAAUGUUUAGAGUUUUGCUCUAAACAAACUUAUCUGGUUUGCAAAAUGUGUGUUUUAAGUUAACAUGCUGACUAAAUGUGGAUUUCACAACUUAUUUUGGGCCUUUAAGCAAAGUUGG
Long non-coding RNA from Octopus sinensis (East Asian common octopus), 935 nucleotides. RefSeq lists it as uncharacterized. The record is from RefSeq and is a predicted model, not a curated record. NCBI's taxonomy places the organism in Eukaryota, Metazoa, Mollusca, Cephalopoda, Octopoda, Octopodidae. The transcript has 2 exons.